Molecule: long non-coding RNA, 2111 nt
Organism: Canis lupus familiaris (dog)
Lineage: Eukaryota; Metazoa; Chordata; Mammalia; Carnivora; Canidae
Exons: 5
Source: RefSeq, a predicted model, not a curated record
GCCGGCGGCAGCAGGGGGCGGGGCCGUGGGCGGAUGAGGACCCGCGGACCUGAGCCGCGGGCUCUCUCGGCUCGGCCCUGGGCCCGGCUGGGUGAGAGGGCGCCCAGCUGCGCUGAUGACCUCCGAUGACCCCCAAAGCCCGUGCUGGCCCUUGUGCAUAAGAAUCCUCUUGUCCGUAAUGCCCUGCCACAGGAUCGUUGGAGGUGCUUUUUAAAAGUACGGAUUCCUGACACCCACCCCUCUGCUUAAUUCCUUCCGUCUUAGCGCCAGGGAAUCAGAAUUUUUAACGAGGACUACCAGUGAUUCUGGUGGAAGAGUCAGCGGACCACACUGUAAGAAACUGCUGGACGGCGUGUUACUAAUGACCUCAGGUCCCGAAGAUACCUUUCCAGACUGAGGACUAUGGAGCCCUGUUCAAGAGGAGACCUCUGGGGUUCUGGAGCUUGGGGGUCUCCUCUCUUCGACUCAGUUCCUCUGUUCUCAGUUGCCUGCCACAUAUUCACCCCCAGCAGAUCCACUCGCUGAAACUCCCCUAAGUAGCACCAGGUCCUGAUCUGUCCUCUUGGCAAGUGGGUGUCUGAUCCUGAGAGCCAGUUUGUGUCGCCUCCAAUAGCUUUUAGCAGACAUCUGGUCCCUGCCUCAGAGCUGCCAUCGUUGAAGCUGUGAAGCGGCUUCUGGGGACCCAGUGCCACAGUCUUGGCUCCCUGACCUUCCUUCCCCGACAAUGAAUUUUCAUGAGCUGCUUGGACUAUUAAGGUCUUCCAGUUUGGUCAAAGAGUGACUGCUGGAAACAUGGCACCUUACUGGACUAAGAUUCAGAUAAGAGAAGUUCAUCUGACAGGUGAAGGACACAUGGGCAGUGAAGGCACAGGCUCUGUGCCUCCAUGGACAGCUGGCCCAGCGCAGACUGGAGUGCACCAGGGCCACUGGGAGCACCAGGCCCACUGGGAGCAUCGGGACCACUAGGAGCACCAGGCCCACCUGGAGCACCACCACCACCGGGAGCAUCGGUCCCACUGGGAGCAUCGGACCCACUGGGAGCACUGCCAGCGGCGCCAGCAGCGCCAACACCGAGCCCACUGGGAGCACCAGGCCCACUGGGAGCAGCACCAGCACCGGGAGCACCGAGCCCACCGGGAGCACCUCCAGCACCGGGAGCAUCGAGCCCACCGGGAGCACUGGAGCGCCGAUCCGCCUCAGGAGCCUCUCCCUCGGCCUGUGCCUCUGCCUCUCCGGGUCUCUCAUGAAUAAAUACAUAAUAUCUAAAAAAAAAAAAAAAAUUCAUUUGAGCGGAAACCAACAGGAAUGCGGCAGGGCCAAGCGAAAAUGGUCAGAGCGCUUUGCCAUAGGCGGGAGCCGGGGAGAGAUUUACAGCCUAAAGCCUAGUUGACUGUGACUGGUCGAACUGAGCUUUCAAUUUUGUGACCUUCAGGCAUUUAUAAACUUAGAUUUCGGCUUGCUUAGGAAGGCUGCCGCAGCGUUGGAACCGCCUGUCUCAGGGCCUCCUUGUUUCAUGAAUCCAAAGGGCUUCUUGUCCUGAAGCGGCCAUGGGGAGGGGGUAAAGAUGCGGCACCUCGGUGUCCCCUGCAGCUAGACACCUGGACACAGAGGGGCCCCUGUGGCUUGUAGACUGGCAUUUUGAGAACAAAUUGGCAACCUAAAGAAAGAGGUAAAUUGAAGGAAGCUCAAAUUAUCUGACAUUGAGUUUAUUCUGCAGCAAAGGAAUUGCAAUUUGAAAAUAUGAACUUAUAGCAAGCUGUAGGUGCACCCCUUGAGGCUUUGCAGGUUUGUAUUUAUGGGCAAGGAGUACGAAGAAGGGGAGUCCAGCCAAGAAGCUCAUUAGCUUGAAGAUAGGCAGAGAUUCUUGAUGGAUGUUCAUUGCUCAGGAGUAUGUUUCCAUCUUUUAUAAAUCAGGCAUUUAUGGGAAAUCAGUCUCUCAGUUCUUCCAACAGCACAGGCAUGAGAUUCUCCAUUUCAUAUCCUCUGGUUCCAUCUUAGGUUGGAAUCCUUUCAUAAAAUCAAGAUACAGUUGUGAGUUUCCCUUAUACUAGUAUCUAGAAACACUGGUCUGUAAUGUUUCUGGAGGAAAAACUCAAUUCCUAUUAAGCAGA